AGCUGCUAUGGCAAGAUGAAACAACCCAGCCUCUGUUCUCCAGCCGUCUCAACACUCAACGCCUAGUCCACUUACAUCCUAUGGUUUCAUCUCUAUUACGGAUGCUCCGGGGAGCACAUUAGUACUGGAAAGACAAUAAAGGUGUGAGCUCGCGACUCAUCUGCCUUCUUUGCUCUUCCAUCAUGGAUUCCAGUCUUCUGCAACCGUUACCUUUCUCUUUUCCCCAUAUUUUAACGAGACUCCAUCCUGUGGACUGGCUAUAGAGGGUAGAGGGGUCAUGACUGCCGCCCACCACCAGCAGGCAGGCAAUCCUGCAGAACCCUGAGCUCCACUUUUGGUCACCACCUCCCCCUGCUGUCCGUCUGAGAUCCUGCAGCUUGGCAUGAAGAUGAAACAGACUGUGUUUGCUAUUCUGAACUAGAGCCGGGACCGAGCCUUUGUAGUUCACAACUACCUGUCCUAGUAAGAGUUUAGAUUGCAGGAGAUGGAAGGCUCUCUAAUUAAAGUUUUUAUUACGGGAUAUUGAAAAUGACUUGGUGGCUAUAUACCUUGUUUCAGGAUUGAA
This 565-nucleotide small RNA is filed under the name Rattus norvegicus (Norway rat). RNAcentral describes it as "uncharacterized LOC102548779". Lineage: Eukaryota; Metazoa; Chordata; Mammalia; Rodentia; Muridae. The record is from RNAcentral.